UUAGGGUUUAGAGUUAAAGGGUGGGGUUUAGGGUUUAGAGUUUAGGGUUUAGGGUUUAGAGUUUAGGGUUUAGGGUUUAGGGUUUAGGGUUUAGAGUUUAGGGUUUAGGGUUGAGAAAUGAGGUUUUGGGGAUAAGAUUUCAAAUUUUGAAAAAUAAAAAAAUUAAAAUUUUCAAAAGAUAAAAUGCUAUUUUGGUCAUUUUAGUUUUUGAGUGCUAUUUUUGUGAUUUAAACUUAGAAAGAUGUUAUUUUGGAGAUUUGCCCUUGUAUAAAACCUAAUUUGUUCUGAUACUUAAUAAUUACCCUAUACUGUAUGGAAGUCAUCAAGUUUAAUUGUAUAAAACCUAAUUUGCUCUGAUACUUAAUAAUUACCCUAUAUUGUAUAUUAACACGAUGAUUAAAAAAGCUAUCUCCUUUUUGUUGUAUGUAAGCGUUCAUGAUUUUCGUUAACCGAAACGAGGAUAAAGAUUUGAUUACAAAC
This 480-nucleotide long non-coding RNA is filed under the name Brassica napus (rape). Its description in RNAcentral is "long non-coding RNA (BNAP_LNC018394)". Lineage: Eukaryota; Viridiplantae; Streptophyta; Magnoliopsida; Brassicales; Brassicaceae. The record is from RNAcentral.